This 112-nucleotide small RNA is filed under the name Escherichia coli. RNAcentral describes it as "partial RtT sRNA". It matches the Rfam family "RtT RNA", at positions 1 to 108 of the family's 130-position model. Rfam says of the family: This family represents a bacterial cis-regulatory element known as RtT RNA. The exact function of RtT is unknown although it is thought that it may be involved in changing the cellular response in relation to amino acid starvation. The record is from RNAcentral. Lineage: Bacteria; Pseudomonadati; Pseudomonadota; Gammaproteobacteria; Enterobacterales; Enterobacteriaceae.
UGCAUCUGCAGCCCAUGAGGAUGAGAACCUCCGGGGGCAGGGAGGUUCGACUCGAGCGAAGCGAGAGAACGUUGCGCCAGCAACGGCCCGCAGGGCGAGCCACGAAGUGGCG